AAUAUUGGACAAUGGGGGCAACCCUGAUCCAGCAAUGCCGCGUGUGUGAAGAAGGCUGCGGGUUGUAAAGCACUUUCAGUGGGGAAGAUGGGCUGCGUGUAACGAGCGCAGUUUGACGUUACCCACAGAAGAAGCACCGGCUAACUCCGUGCCAGCAGCCGCGGUAAUACGGAGGGUGCAAGCGUUAAUCGGAAUUACUGGGCGUAAAGCGCGCGUAGGCGGCUGGGUAAGUCAGAUGUGAAAGCCCCGGGCUCAACCUGGGAAUUGCAUUUGAUACUGCCUGGCUAGAGUCUGUCAGAGGGUGGCGGAAUUCCGGGUGUAGCGGUGAAAUGYGUAGAUAUYCGGAGGAACACCAGUGGCGAAGGCGGCMACCUGGGACGAGACUGACGCUGAGGUGCGAAAG
Molecule: ribosomal RNA, 403 nt
Filed under: uncultured Gammaproteobacteria bacterium
Lineage: Bacteria; Pseudomonadati; Pseudomonadota; Gammaproteobacteria
Description: bacterial SSU rRNA
Rfam family: Bacterial small subunit ribosomal RNA
Source: RNAcentral